This 476-nucleotide long non-coding RNA is filed under the name Lathyrus oleraceus (garden pea). RNAcentral describes it as "Pisum sativum (pea) long non-coding RNA (PSAT_LNC040954)". The record is from RNAcentral. Lineage: Eukaryota; Viridiplantae; Streptophyta; Magnoliopsida; Fabales; Fabaceae.
UUUUUUGCACACAUGGUUUAGACCAAAUGGUUAUCAGUAUUUCUGGAUUUGAAUUGAAAUAAGUCAAGACUAAUGUUUACAUAAGUUAUGACUUGGUAACAGAUCGAUUUAAGCUUAUUUCAUAGUUUUGAUUAUUUCAUGACAGUAUUUGACAUAUUUGGAUAAUGUGGGUGUUUAUGUAUUAUUUUUUCCGAUUCGUUCUGGGUGUAAACGGUUUAAUGUUACCUUGUGCGGUAGAUUUCGAGGAGUAAAUUUUGGUGUUUAUUUUGAUUCAUCUUGUGUUGUAGUAUAAAUGCUAUAAAAAUAAUUCUGCAAAUUGUUAAGUUAUGCCAUUGCUGUUCGGUUGUGUCAAUCCCAUAAUUUAUGUUUCAUUUUGAUUAAAGUUUGUGUAAAUAUUGUACUAUCCUCCUUUCAAUUGCAUCUUCAAUUCUCAAUGAUGUUUUGUGCUUGAGAUUGGUGUUAUAAUAUUGCGCGGU